UGUCCCUCUUUGUUGCACUCUCCGAUGAGGCGAUGUCGUUAAACUUAUGUGAACGUCAAAACCCCUCUACUAUCUCCGUUUUGAUCAUUAUAAAACGACACCGUUUGAUUUACACUGCUAACGACGUCGUUUUCUGCUUACGUGCCAAGCCGCGUUCCUCAGAGUUGAAUCUUUCUGUCGAUCCAACGUUUCUCAGCGCGUCAAGGUGACGAAUUCUUCAUCUUGGGAUUCCAGAUUUCUCUCUUGAAUUCUAUCAAAUUCUUAUUCAUUAUAUCCCACAACUGUGAUCGAAAGACCAAAAAGAAAUCAUAGGAGAUGGGAUCACUGGCAACCAAUUUCACAGCAUCACUCUUCCUCGUUCCCCUGGGCAUUCGCCGUCUUCUCUGCUCCUCCUCUCUCUACCUCAAAAACCCUUCUCAAUACAGGUCGAAAUUAUGGUAUUUCUCAAAUCCCAGGUGGAAAAAUUUGGAUUUUUACGUCCUUAUCAUCGCCCUUCCCAUUGCUUCAUUUGCAGACGUUUUCCUUUUCUUGACAUUUUCCGGGCACCCUAUCUAUCGAUUCGCCUUCAUCCAGAGAUCACUGGUGAUUUUGCUCUUCUGGAUACUUGCCGUUUUGAUCGUUUUACGGGAAAAUUUUGAUCAUAUUCUCAUUCACGAGAGUUUGGUAUUUGUUUUCGCUGCAAUUUCGUUUGUCGCCGAGUAUUCGGUGAUUGGUAAGGGAAUUAAUGGCCUGGGCGAAGCUGUGUACGAGUGGUUAGGUGGAUUGACUCUCCUUUGUGCUGCUUCUUGCCUGUAUCUAUCAAUUAGGCCUACUGCUUUCUUCGCCGAGUUUUUGUUGUGUUCCGGGAUUGUGUUUAAGGGGACAUGGUUAUUGCAAGCGGGGCUGUCAUUGUACUCUGAUGUAUUCUCAUUGAAGGGGUGUCAUAAAUUUUUGACUGAUGUUGUAUGUGAUCUUGAAGAGGAUAGCUUGAGGGGUGUGGCUUUAAUGAAUCUUUUGUUUAUUGGGCAUGCAAUUGGAGUCUUGAUUACAUGUCUCGUGUUGUUCGGUACCUUGUCUUCUAACCAGAACUUGAGGCAUGACGAUGGGACGGGAUCAUUGUUGUCAGAGCCUGACUUGCUUCAUGAAUUUGACGUUGAGUGAGCUUUGGUAUGCUUCAUGAAUUUGAGGUUGAGUGAGCUUGUAUCAUGGUACCAAAGAAAAUGGUAUCAUGUGGGGAUUGUUUGUUUGUUACUUCUCUACAGGCUCUUCAAGUUUUAAAUGACUCUAGAUGGCACCUCUUUGUAUGGCCAUGUGCCAGCAGCUGAGAGCACAGUUAGUUGACUUCUAAUUUUGAAGAUCGGUCAUAUAAGGUAAUUCUGUAAUAGCACUAUUUCUUAAUGACAAUUCCUAAUUGGCAUUAAUAACAAGCUUUGAUGAUUCUACUGAUCAAAAAGCUUCACUGUGUUUAGCAUAGCACCCUUUGUGGUGAGCCUUACUUGUUCAACUUGGAGGCAAUCAUACGACCUAUAUUGAAUGACUGUACAGUUGGCACCAUAUCUGGUCUGUAAUGGUUAUGUUGGUCAUGGAUGGGGAGUGUAUUAGGUGUGUUGGAGAUCAAAGUCCAGGGAUAUGUUUAGAAGAGGACAUCUUGACAGAAUCCUUAGUAAGACAAUACCAUUGUGAUUUUAUGAUUUGAUACUUGACUGGAAUUCAAGUAAAUCAUCCUUCAAAGGUGCCCUCACUUGUCAAAGCAUUUGUGAAACAUGAAAGGCUUUCCAAAAUUCUGUUAGACACUAUGACUAGAUAGGAUGACUAACUUAAACACUUGGAAAUCAAGUCCAGAAGCAAGGCAUACAAAAUAUCAUAAGCUGAAAGCUCUACUGAAGAGAUGGGUAAAACCCCUCUACUUCGUCAGCAUGUGUAUCAUGACUAGCACCUACUGUGGGAGUUAAUAUGUGCCAAACAACUUGCAUUUGCUGUUUCAUUAUUUUCCUUGCUCUCAAAUUACAGAGUUGAGCAAAACGAGGCAAAUCAUUUAGGGGUUCAUAUAUGAACAUGCAAAAGAGUCAAUGUCAGCAAAGGAGCUUUGAGGCAAUUCUCUUUCAGACUUAUUGAUUCUUGUUUAUUUUAGUACUUAGUGAUCUUGUUGUGGCAAUGAUCAAUUCAAAACCAGAUAUAUAUGUUGUCUUCCAGAAAAUGAAUUGAUUGGGUCAGAUUAUUCUUAAUUUUCCAUUUCCUUUGUGUCUGUAAAUUGGAUUAAACUAGAAUAUUAUGUUUGUACUGUAAAUUGCCAAUCACUCAGUCAUACUUCAGUGUGGUGCCUCUUUGAAUUGUCUGUUGCCAUAAUCUUUCUGACUUAGAAUUUAUAACAGGUUUUCAUGGUAAAAUCCAAGAGAAACCCAUUUUUCUUACUUGCAAUGGUAGGACUUUCCAUUUCCUUUUAAAUGUUGGCUUGAAAUACUUGUUAAAUAGAUUUGAUUUCAUCAAAGGUAUUGUUUCUGGAAAUUCUUUUAUUCAUGUAUUGCUUACAAGUUAGAUGCUGAUAUGUACCAACUUUCUUCUGUGCUUUAUGAUUUUAUGAUUAACAAAUGGUGGUGUGAGAAUUGAAUGGGGAAUCGUUUUUAUAAAUGUGUAGUAGACUAACAGACACAUUGCGCAUUUUGGUUUUUAAAAUGUAAAGCACACCAGAGAUUAGGAAUGUUAAACUUUCUUGAAAAUUUCCUGAAAUUAUUAAUUUAUGCCCUUCAACAUAAAUAUUGUGACAAAAGAAGCAAUGGAGAUCCAGUGAUGGACUGAUUGAUAAGUUAUAACUUGCUUUACCAAAAUAAAAAAUAAAAAAUUUGUGAAGUUAUGACAAUAAUCAACAUGGUUAUAUAUUUGAUGAUUGAUAAUGAAAUAGAAAUUAAUCUAAUUUGGUAUAUUUUAUCAGGGAAAACUUUGGCAUGGUCAACCACUGUUGGCGAAAACGACUGAAUCCAUGGAUUUUAAUAGGAGAUCGGAUCUUCUUGGUGAAAUGACAUCUUCGAUUGAGAACUUUUGAUCUUGAUAAACUGACCAGCUUCCUUACACACCUACAUCCUGCAUCAGACCAUUUACCUUCAUGAAUAAAAUAAUAUAGUCAAUACUAACAGCUAAGAGAAACCUUAUGUGGUCAUUAUUUCUUCCAUAAUUCCCUAUUGCAAAACUUUUGCUUGAAAUAAUUAGGAAAUAAUCAGAUGAAUAGUGGGUUGAGCCAAGCUCUUCAUCAAGUUUUUAAACAUUGAAAACAAUAGAAACCAGCUGCUUCCUACAUUUCUUUCUUUAUUUUUUUUUCUUUCUUUAUUUAUAUUUGUUAUUAUCUUUUAAGAUUCAUCAACUGAAGCAUACCUUCAACCUUCUGAAUAUGCUCCUCUUCUUCCAUGCUUGCAUUCUGCAGAACCUGCUCAUUGCAAAACCGGAAAUCAGUGGUUCUUUCUUGUUCAGCUGCAACAGUUCAAUUGGAUUUGCUCAUUUUUUGCAACAUUGAAGUACUGGUUCAGUCUCAAUAUGCUUGUUAAUGUGAAGAAGAAUAAAAGAAAAAGAAAAGGUUUCUUAGUAUAACUACUGUUAAACCACUUGUUCUAAGGUUUUCAUUUCAUUACCUCAACUAAACUUUCCAAACGGUUUUUCAUCCUUCUUUGUAUGAAACCUCUGGUACACUAUUUGCACAAUCUUUUCAGUCCAAAGAUGCAAGAACACCUGUCCUUAAUAAUUCCAUAAACAACCAGAAUGAAGUUUUACCUUUACAUGAUAUUUCACAUAGGCAUAAAAGUUCAAGAGACUCCACACUGUCUUGUCUAGCUGCUUACCUUCAACAUGAUGUGAAAAAAUAUCUGCAAAUAGGUCACGCAAAGAUAAUUUAAGAAAAGCCUUCUCAGACCCAGGACAUGAGAAAAAACUGCUAUUUAUAUACAUUGAAAAGCGUUAGGUAGGUUAGGAAAAUCUCGUAAGGUUUAAUCUUGAACAAAAAUAGAUGUCACCUUUGAGUUUCAGAUGAAUGAUUUAUGUUUCAGUUAUUUGUGGUUGGGGCAUUUGAUUUUAAGUUUGUUAGUUAUGCAAUGGUGUGUGACCAUCUUUUAAUUAGAUGACCAUAAUGUAGUUAGAACUACACUAUACUGCAGAUGGCUUUGAUUUAAUAUUGUAUGUCUAGCAAAUACCAAAAGAGACAAAUCCUCCAUUAGUGCUCAAAUCUUCAAAAAGCUCUCCUCUCAACUCAGGAGGAGGAAUGGGUGACCAGGUGCAAGGAGGUGCUUUAGCCCAUGCUUCUGAACUUCCCACAUCCAUGAGUUCCUGUCAAAAAAAUUCCGUUAUUCCAAGGAAUUGGAGGCAGAAUUUGAUUUCAAUUCUAGAAAUCGUGAGAACACCAUUAGUUUUGUAAUAAUUGUCUGCCACAAACCUGAAAGAAGGCGGUUGCAAUAAUCACAUCUGAAUUUUCUCUGAAGCGCAUUGGAAAUACUGCAGUGAUCUUUUGUGGCUGUCAAAUAGACAAAUCCACUUCUGUUUAGACAAUUCUAGUAGCAUAAGAAAUUAUAACUCAUACAGUGUUACUUUAUAUAUUAUAACUGUGAAGGGCUUCAGUUGCCACUGUUAAAUAGGUUCAAAUAAACUCAACCAAAUAUGUUUUUAGUGUGGUGUAAAUUCCAAAUUAGUAAAUAAUAGAGGUUAUGACCUUGCAAGUCAUGAUACUAAGUUUCACAUUAUCAGCUUCAGUUUUAGUUGGAAUCCUGUAAUCUUGAGGAAUUUUGGUCAAAAUACUGGAAACCCAAGGUUAACAUCAGUUGAAAUUUCAAAUUGUUGAAAAUUUUAAAAUCCUUUGAUAUGAGGAAAGAAAAAAGUGUUGCAUUCUAAGACUGUCAAGAAGUGUAGGACAUGACAAGUCCUCAAAAUUGAGACAUGAGGACGCAACUACACCUAUGUGUCAAUGAAUAUGAUAGUUCUCUAUGUUUGAAUUUGUGCUUGUUUGCAGAAUUUAAUCAUUUUCAUAGCAGGUGUUGUAAGCUGAAAGAAAACGCCAUGGCCAUGAUACAGCUUUUCUUUUGCACAACAUUUGUGAGUAAACAUGGUCGUUUUUAGGUGUACAAACUGGUGUUGAACAUUGGUCGACAUGAAUAUAUAUUUUAUAUAUAUGUUGUUUUUGGUGUGAACACUGAACAAGUGUCUGACAUGCCAAUUGUUAAUGAUAGAAAUGACCUACAAAUUAUAACUUGAAUCUUUCAUACUUCGAAAUUUUGGCCAAUUUCUGUGAUGGGAUAAAUAGCUGGAUAACCAUUUUUACAUUUUUCGGGGAUUGCCAUUUUUUGUUAAGAAGAACAGGUGUCCUAAAGAGGCUUUUCUUUUGUCCUUUUUAGGUGUGUUUUUGUUGUAGGCAUACUUUAGUUUGCUAUUUCUCUUUUAUAUUGGCCAAGUCUUAAUUUUCCCAAAGAAGAGGUUUAUUUGAGACAUGGAAAUUACCUGCCUGAUGACAAAGAAAGGCUCUCGUGGAUGAUAGACAAGUUUGAUUGGUUUGUACAUCCCUUGUGAUGUGUCCUGUGAAUUGACAUUCUGCAACAUUUCUUUCAGCUGAGAGCUUAGGAUUACAGCUUGUACUGAGGAAAUCUGUGCUAUUACCUUUGCACCGUCUGGAACAUGACAUCCAUGGACACAAUUAGAAACUCACUAAAUGAUUUUCAAAUGAGUACUUUUUUUGCAUUCAAGAAUAAGAAUGUUAUCUUCUAGUAAGUAUUUUAUUUGUCUAUUAUUUUUCCACUACAACUCAAUAGUAUGAGAAGACACAUUAUUUUGGUGAAUCUAGAAGAUUCUAGAACUCACAAGGUGUAAUGGAGAACUUAUUAUGUUUAUAAGUCUCAAUGGGACUUUUCUUGUAUUUUUUUUGUUGAUUUAAUACUAAUGUUACAAGCUUAACCUACUUAUUUCUCUGUCUAACAACUGGUGUUUUAACUUAAGCUCCAUGACUUGUUUUUGGGAAAACUAGAAGUCUUAUGCUAUUUCCUUCAGAAUGUUUAGCGUCAAACAUUCUUGGAUGGAUGCUCCAACCCAAAUCCUGAGACUUCCGUGCUGGGAAGAAGCUGGAAUCCUCAAUUAAAAUGGAGAUUUUCUUGGAGCUAAAAUGCUGGUUCAACAAUCUCCAAAACAUCAGAACAAAUUCCCUUUAUCAUCUCUAUGGUGUAAUGUGAAAGGCCAUGUGAGGGCAGAACUCCUUGGGACAGUAGUGGGGUAGCUAUUGACAAGUAGGUGUCAUGUGGAUCAGAUGCAGAAGACUGUUAAACACAGAAAUGUCAGAAAUUCUGAAACUAUUUGUCAAUAUUUUGAUAUGGUUCCAAGAUGAUAAAAUAUUUUUACCCUAGGAUGCACCUUAUUCCCAAAACUGAGUGAGUAAUUCCUGAGUCUAGAUUAUCUCAUGGUUUUGAAUUUGUAACUUUUCCAUGAAAAAUGAUAGAUGAUACAUGAUGGAGCAGUUGAUUAAUCCAUUUAGUGAAGGGUCAAUCAAGAUCGGGGGGAAACAAUGGAAAACUUAUUUAAAGUGUAGUAUCUAAAGUAUGUGAGAAACUUGUCAAAGGUUUUACCUGGACAUGGUAUUCCACUGACCCAAAUUCAUACAAGUGGUGGUCAAUCUCCAUAGGCUUCUCAGUGCUGCCAUGAAAGAAGUAAUCUUGAUCAUUAGUGUAAUUUUAAUUUUGUUCUGCACUAAUCAAACUUCUUCCAUGCUCCAUUUGGCUGCUGAGAAGAUGCUCAGAAAUAAAUGAAACCCCAAAAACACUACAAUAGCAUUUUCAUUCCCACGAAGAUCCAAAAAUUCUUUUCUUUUCCUUCAUCUUCUCAGGAAACCAAACAGGGGAUUAGUUUUUUAAUAAUGAAAUUAUAUGUGGCAAAACAACUAAUUCAUACUGAAACAUUUGCAGCAGGAACAAUGGCAAAUAUCCAUGAGAUUGAUUCUACUAACGUUGAGUUAUUAAACUAGGAGGUUAAUGAGAGCUUGUCAAAUUAACUGAUGAUAUGUACUUUAAAGAAGAUUAAACUUUUGGCACUAAAAGUGACUUUUUGUUUUGCACCCUAUCCAACACUAUGAAAUGGCAGAUUCUCAUUUCUGGAUGACUGAAACUGAAGAUAAAACGUGCUAGAAGGUUGCCAUUUUCCCACCCAAGUUGGUGAUCUUUGACUUCAGAUUUUGAAGACAAGAAUUGACAGAUCCCCCUUACCCACUUGUUGGAAAAUGUUGUAACUACCAACCAAAGUGAAAGAAGAGAACAGCUUCAUCCCACAGGGCAAUCAUUGGAACUCUAUUCACUGGGUAUCUACCUGGAAAUCACAUUUUCUUGUCUGCCAAACAGCAUGAGUGCUCAAGAGGUCCCCACCAAAGAGACAAAGGAUUCUUACCGGUAUAACUUGAGCAGGAUCUCCUUCAGCGCUGGUGAAGCCCUUUCAAAGCACGCCAUUCUGGGUAAUCUCUUUUAUCUCUGCCUAGUUCUCUCCCUCUCUACACAUUGGGGGUGAAGGGUGAUGAACUAAGAAAUGCAGUGUUGAACAUCUUAGUUAAAUGUCUGGGUUGGUAAGAACUUUGAGUGAAUUGUAAGUCCCAUGUAGCAAUCAUGUUUAGGAAACCUUUGAAGCAAACACCUACUCCCCACCAUGCCAAAUCUAUAUCGCUUUCUUUGCAACCACUAUGAAAAAGCUCCAAGGCUCGCAUAUACUUUACAUGUAAACAAACCCAAACUUGAACUACCUGCCUUCAACAACCAUUUGUUUCCUUUUUCUCUGGUUCUAAAAAAUAUUUGGUCAUCUCUCCUCAUCCA
Molecule: RNA transcript, 7787 nt
Organism: Vitis vinifera (wine grape)
Lineage: Eukaryota; Viridiplantae; Streptophyta; Magnoliopsida; Vitales; Vitaceae
Exons: 5
Source: RefSeq, a predicted model, not a curated record